ACUCCCAGUGUGUCCAGCGACAGUUUGUACACAGGCAAGCAAGUCCCGUGUGCAUUCUCCGUACUGAGCCCCAGUUGUGCACCUGUGCACAGAGACCGUGCGGGUGGGUGUGCAUCCUUCCCCUGACCUGGGUGUGCUUCCUCUAGAGGGCUGGAGCCUGAAGCUUUUAUCUGAAGGACUGAUCUUGGACUACCAGAUUCUGCUUUGUCUGUACAUGCAGAGUCAGAAGUAGCUGGGAAUUCAGAUCUCCCAGGGCAGCCCUCAGCCAACCACUAGCAGUGGGGGUAAGGAAAGCCCUGCUGCCACAAGCUCACCCUGCAGAGUCCCCUACAGGGUCAGGCUUAGCUCCCUCCUGAAGCUUCAGCUGAGACCACGACCUGCUAGGCAUCCUCCCCUCCCCAGAGAGGCUGGCGGAGAGGCGUAUGCAAGGGAGCGGAGGCUGGGACCGGCCCGGCUUCUUCCCCGGGCCCGCUAGGGGGCGCGCGCCCUCUCCGCGGAGUUCUCUGCUGCUGGGAAGGCGAGCCGGCCCCCGGGACUUCAGAGCCGGAGCCAGGCACUUAGCUUCCUUCUGGGGACCCUGAGGCACGGGAAGAGAAGGGACCUCCUGCUCGCAGUGUCCCCCUUGCGCUGUCCCUGCUAGUGACAGGAAGCUCUUCUCACCCUGUUCGUGGGCCCGGCUGUGUCUCCUCCUCGCCUUCACCUGCCGUUGUGACCUGCAGUGCCCUCCCCAGCUUGAUCCCUACCUGGAACCCCUCGGUGUCCUGUCCCAGGCCACGCUGAAGGUGGGCGGUGCGUGCUGCGGGUGACUGGCUGAAUGAAUGAAUGAGCCAACACAGGAAUGCCCGUGGACACCACCAGGGGUCUUUCUGCGAAAGUGCGGUGACACCAGGGGUCCUCCUGCGGCCCCGGGAGGGCCCAGACUCGGCCUGAGGGGCUCAGCACCGGCUCCUCCCAUUCCCUUCCUUCCUCCUGACUUGCUGUGGUUCUUUAAGUUUGGUAAUUAAUGUCAUUCUAAGUAAAGGAAAAACAAGCAGUCGAGUCAUUCGCAUGAAUUGUUGGGCUCAUCAUUUUACGGUGCGAUGCCGUCUUAGGCGCAGAGCGUCUCACUUGUGCACUAACGCGCCACAAUGGCACAUGGGUAGUGCACAGUUCGUACAGGCACGUGUAUUUCGAUCUUACAGGACAAUGGAAAGGCUGCACAAAUCUAAACCCACUGUCACCUCUGGGGCUCGUGCAUUCUGCCAACACCCCAUAGGAACCCGGAUCUCAGACGUCCCAGGUACGUCAGCCCCACCAGAAUUCUGUGCUCAUAGGACACGGUGAACGCUGAAUGUGGACAGGGCGGCAAGGACCCGGACACUUGGAUUACACAGGUCUCCUCUGCUCACACACCCUGACGCUGUCCCAUUGAACUUCACUUACAAAACACGAGUUUAAAGAUAAAAUCAUCUGUUUCACGAUAUGGCUAUGUUAAAAAAGAUAAAUUAUUGAUAAUUCCAUGGUGGUGACAGCAGAACAUUAAACCAACGUGGG
This 1533-nucleotide long non-coding RNA is filed under the name Homo sapiens (human). Its description in RNAcentral is "non-protein coding lnc-DENND3-3:1". Lineage: Eukaryota; Metazoa; Chordata; Mammalia; Primates; Hominidae. The record is from RNAcentral.